UCAUCUUCGGGGGUAGAGCACUGUUUCGGCUAGGGGGUCAUCCCGACUUACCAACCCGAUGCAAACUACGAAUACCGAAGAAUGUUAUCACGGGAGACACACGGCGGGUGCUAACGUCCGUCGUGAAGAGGGAAACAACCCAGACCGCCAGCUAAGGUCCCAAAGUCAUGGUUAAGUGGGAAACGAUGUGGGAAGGCACAGACAGCCAGGAUGUUGGCUUAGAAGCAGCCAUCAUUUAAAGAAAGCGUAAUAGCUCACUGGUCGAGUCGGCCUGCGCGGAAGAUGUAACGGGGCUAAACCAUGCACCGAAGCUGCGGCAGCGACACUAUGUGUUGUUGGGUAGGGGAGCGUUCUGUAAGCCUGCGAAGGUGACCUGUGAGGGUUGCUGGAGGUAUCAGAAGUGCGAAUGCUGACAUAAGUAACGAUAAAGCGGGUGAAAAGCCCGCUCGCCGGAAGACCAAGGGUUCCUGUCCAACGUUAAUCGGGGCAGGGUGAGUCGACCCCUAAGGCGAGGCCGAAAGGCGUAGUCGAUGGGAAACAGGUUAAUAUUCCUGUACUUGGUGUUACUGCGAAGGGGGGACGGAGAAGGCUAUGUUAGCCGGGCGACGGUUGUCCCGGUUUAAGCAUGUAGGCUGGUUGUCCAGGCAAAUCCGGAUAAUCAAGGCUGAGGUGUGAUGACGAGGCACUACGGUGCUGAAGUAACAAAUGCCCUGCUUCCAGGAAAAGCCUCUAAGCAUCAGGUAACAUCAAAUCGUACCCCAAACCGACACAGGUGGUCAGGUAGAGAAUACCAAGGCGCUUGAGAGAACUC
This 811-nucleotide ribosomal RNA is filed under the name Klebsiella pneumoniae. Its description in RNAcentral is "partial 23S ribosomal RNA". It matches the Rfam family "Bacterial large subunit ribosomal RNA", at positions 890 to 1701 of the family's 2925-position model. Lineage: Bacteria; Pseudomonadati; Pseudomonadota; Gammaproteobacteria; Enterobacterales; Enterobacteriaceae. The record is from RNAcentral.